Molecule: small nuclear RNA, 102 nt
Filed under: Microcebus murinus (gray mouse lemur)
Lineage: Eukaryota; Metazoa; Chordata; Mammalia; Primates; Cheirogaleidae
Source: RNAcentral
GUGCUCACUUGGGCAGCACUUAUACUAAAAGUAAAACCACGCAGAGAUCAGCACAGCCCCUGCACAAGGAGAACAUGAAUUUGUGAAGCGGUCUAUAUUUUU